RNAcentral lists this ribosomal RNA (564 nucleotides) under Triticum aestivum (bread wheat). Its description in RNAcentral is "partial small subunit ribosomal RNA". The record is from RNAcentral. Lineage: Eukaryota; Viridiplantae; Streptophyta; Magnoliopsida; Poales; Poaceae.
AUGGCCGCCGCCGCCGCCUCCCUCCGCCGUGUCGCCGCCGCCGCCGCCGCCCCUCGCCGCCGCUCCAUGACGGCCCAGGCGAGUCUCCUGCUGGACAUGCCUCCGGAGAUCCGGCGGGAGAUUUCAAGGGUCAAGAUGGCCGACAUCUCCGACCACCGCCAGCUCGCCCAGGAGGUGUCGCGGCUCAGCGGAGUCAUCAUCAACCAUGAGGCGGCCGCGCGCCUCAAGCCAGUGGAGGCUGCGAUGCACGUCGGGACGUUGUCCUGGCGUGUCUGCACCUCCGUGCUCACCGUGAGCAUGGCUGCAACUUUUGGCGUCGUCCAGAUCGCCAUGCCCGGGUGGAAAUCGAGGUAUGAAGACGCCGCGGUGAAGCACGCUUCUAACAUCAUUAAGAAGAAAGCGCAACAACUCGAAGAAUCACUGGCCAAAAAGCUCCGGAACAAAAAGACGUUGGUGGAGCUGGGAAAGAACUCAAUCACCACGAGGGAGGAGAAGGUAGCUGCCAAGGAGGCACAGCUCGCCGUGUGGGAGGCAGACAUUGUCAAGCGGGAGACGGGCAUGUGA